This 451-nucleotide ribosomal RNA is filed under the name uncultured bacterium. Its description in RNAcentral is "partial 16S ribosomal RNA". It matches the Rfam family "Bacterial small subunit ribosomal RNA", at positions 29 to 523 of the family's 1533-position model. The record is from RNAcentral.
AGCGAACGCUGGCGGCAGGCUUAACACAUGCAAGUCGAGCGGGCGUAGCAAUACGUCAGCGGCAGACGGGUGAGUAACGCGUGGGAACGUACCUUUUGGUUCGGAACAACACAGGGAAACUUGUGCUAAUACCGGGUAAGCCCUUACGGGGAAAGAUUUAUCGCCGAAAGAUCGGCCCGCGUCUGAUUAGCUAGUUGGUGAGGUAACGGCUCACCAAGGCGACGAUCAGUAGCUGGUCUGAGAGGAUGAUCAGCCACAUUGGGACUGAGACACGGCCCAAACUCCUACGGGAGGCAGCAGUGGGGAAUAUUGGACAAUGGGGGCAACCCUGAUCCAGCCAUGCCGCGUGAGUGAUGAAGGCCCUAGGGUUGUAAAGCUCUUUUGUGCGGGAAGAUAAUGACGGUACCGCAAGAAUAAGCCCCGGCUAACUUCGUGCCAGCCGCCGCAGUAA